AACGAACGCUGGCGGCAUGCCUAACACAUGCAAGUCGAACGAGACCUUCGGGUCUAGUGGCGCACGGGUGCGUAACGCGUGGGAACCUGCCCUUAGGUUCGGAAUAACUCCCCGAAAGGGGUGCUAAUACCGGAUAAUGUCUUCGGACCAAAGAUUUAUCGCCUUUGGAUGGGCCCGCGUUGGAUUAGCUAGUUGGUAGGGUAAAAGCCUACCAAGGCGACGAUCCAUAGCUGGUCUGAGAGGAUGAUCAGCCACACUGGGACUGAGACACGGCCCAGACUCCUACGGGAGGCAGCAGUGGGGAAUAUUGGACAAUGGGCGAAAGCCUGAUCCAGCAAUGCCGCGUGAGUGAUGAAGGCUUUAGGGUUGUAAAGCUCUUUUACCCGGGAUGAUAAUGACAGUACCGGGAGAAUAAGCGCCGGCUAACUCCGUG
This 433-nucleotide ribosomal RNA is filed under the name uncultured bacterium. RNAcentral's name for it is "partial 16S ribosomal RNA". It matches the Rfam family "Bacterial small subunit ribosomal RNA", at positions 29 to 507 of the family's 1533-position model. The record is from RNAcentral.